UCCUCGUGUAUCCAUAGUCAUCAAACAGC
This 29-nucleotide small RNA is filed under the name Bombyx mori (domestic silkworm). RNAcentral describes it as "ovarian small RNA-27832". The record is from RNAcentral. Lineage: Eukaryota; Metazoa; Arthropoda; Insecta; Lepidoptera; Bombycidae.